CUGAUACAGGAGCAAUCCUGCAUGACCGCAAUGCAGAAGUCAGCAGACGGCAUAGUAAGUGGCCUCUCGCCACUGAAGGCC
Molecule: non-coding RNA, 81 nt
Organism: Endozoicomonas sp. (ex Bugula neritina AB1)
Lineage: Bacteria; Pseudomonadati; Pseudomonadota; Gammaproteobacteria; Oceanospirillales; Endozoicomonadaceae
Source: Rfam